RNAcentral lists this transfer RNA (69 nucleotides) under Marmota monax (woodchuck). RNAcentral's name for it is "tRNA.Ala". Lineage: Eukaryota; Metazoa; Chordata; Mammalia; Rodentia; Sciuridae. The record is from RNAcentral.
GGGGUUGUGGCUCAGUGGUAGAGCCCUUGCUUUGCAUGUGAGGCCCUGAGUUCAAUUAUCAGCACCACA